AUUAUAUUAUAUUUUUGAUUAAUUUGCAAUUAAUUGAUAUGGAAUUUCCAUAUAUGUUA
RNAcentral lists this transfer RNA (59 nucleotides) under Cheiracanthium triviale. RNAcentral's name for it is "tRNA-Ala". The record is from RNAcentral. RNAcentral also lists the same sequence under 1 other name. Lineage: Eukaryota; Metazoa; Arthropoda; Arachnida; Araneae; Cheiracanthiidae.